GCCUCUGUGGUGAAAUCGGUAGACACGCUACACUUAAGAUGUAGUUCUCAUUAAUGGGAGUACAGGUUCGAGUCCUGUCAGAGGUACAA
RNAcentral lists this transfer RNA (89 nucleotides) under Ignavibacteria bacterium. RNAcentral describes it as "tRNA-Leu". It matches the Rfam family "tRNA". From Rfam's summary of the family: Transfer RNA (tRNA) molecules are approximately 80 nucleotides in length. Their secondary structure includes four short double-helical elements and three loops (D, anti-codon, and T loops). Further hydrogen bonds mediate the characteristic L-shaped molecular structure. tRNAs have two regions of fundamental functional importance: the anti-codon, which is responsible for specific mRNA codon recognition, and the 3' end, to which the tRNAs corresponding amino acid is attached (by aminoacyl-tRNA synthetases). tRNAs cope with the degeneracy of the genetic code in two manners: having more than one tRNA (with a specific anti-codon) for a particular amino acid; and 'wobble' base-pairing, i.e. permitting non-standard base-pairing at the 3rd anti-codon position. Lineage: Bacteria; Pseudomonadati; Ignavibacteriota; Ignavibacteria. The record is from RNAcentral.